Molecule: ribosomal RNA, 253 nt
Filed under: uncultured bacterium
Lineage: Bacteria
Description: partial 16S ribosomal RNA
Rfam family: Bacterial small subunit ribosomal RNA
Source: RNAcentral
UACGGGGGGGGCAAGCGUUGUUCGGAAUUACUGGGCGUAAAGGGCGCGUAGGCGGCCUGUUAAGUCCCGUGUGAAAUCCCUCGGCUCAACCGAGGAACUGCACGGGAAACUGGCGGGCUUGAGUUCGGGAGAGGGAAGCGGAAUUCCGGGUGUAGCGGUGAAAUGCGUAGAUAUCCGGAGGAACACCGGUGGCGAAGGUGGCUUCCUGGACCGACAAUGACGUUGAGGCGCGAAAGCUAGGGGAGCAAACGGG